Molecule: ribosomal RNA, 303 nt
Filed under: Triticum aestivum (bread wheat)
Lineage: Eukaryota; Viridiplantae; Streptophyta; Magnoliopsida; Poales; Poaceae
Description: partial small subunit ribosomal RNA
Source: RNAcentral
AUGAACUCCAAGCAGUCAGCAAUGGCCUGGUCGGCAUGGAAGGAAGCCGAGCUCUCCCUCCCCCGCAGUGGCGCCGGCCGUCCCGCUGAUCUCGGCGCGGGCCGCCUCCUGAUCCCAGGGCAGCACCUGAGCUCCUCCAUGCACCGGACGACGAGGCCGGCGAGCCGGAACAGCCGCACCCGCAGCCGGAGCAGCGACCCCAGCCGGACGUGCCGCACCCGGCGCCCUCGCCGGCCCUGCCUCGCCUCAUGGACCAUCGCCAUCGGGUGGCUGCACCUGGUACCUUUACUACUACUGGCCUGA